UGGUCAUUUAGAGGAAGUAAAAGUCGUAACAAGGUUUCCGUAGGUGAACCUGCGGAAGGAUCAUUACAAAUGACUGGGAUGUCCUAUCGGACCCCCAAGCAAACACAUCUAUGUGUACUCUGCCAUGUUGCUUCCCCAGACCAGUGGCCACUGCUGCCAGCCCAGCCCCUAAUGGGUUCCUGGGUUGAGGUGUCUGGGGAAGGGCUCAAUAUCAAACUUUUCAACCUACUAGUCGUCUGAGAAGGCCAUGUGCCGCAAUAUUUAAACAAGUUAAAACUUUCAACAACGGAUCUCUUGGCUCUCGCAUCGAUGAAGAACGCAGCGAAAUGCGAUAAGUAAUGUGAAUUGCAGAAUUCAGUGAAUCAUCGAAUCUUUGAACGCACAUUGCGCCCUUUGGUAUUCCUUAGGGCAUGCCUGUUCGAGCGUCACUAAAAACCGACUCACAUAUCGUGUGGUAUUGGUAGAAGUGGAUAGUACUAACACUACUUUGUCUUACUCUGCUGAAAUGAAUAGGCCAGAAAAGUGGACCAUGGUAAUAGAUUCCAGGAGUGUUUUAAAAUGCUAUACUAGUCUUAUCCAAGUCAUAUUCUGAGCCACUGGACCCCCCAUUUAGUCCAAACAACAGGUGGUUGACCUCGGGAUCAGGUAGGGAUACCCGCUGAAACUUAA
Molecule: ribosomal RNA, 669 nt
Filed under: Tuber sp. P-11-12-9
Lineage: Eukaryota; Fungi; Ascomycota; Pezizomycetes; Pezizales; Tuberaceae
Description: eukaryotic LSU rRNA
Rfam family: 5.8S ribosomal RNA (bases 275-428)
Source: RNAcentral